This 468-nucleotide ribosomal RNA is filed under the name uncultured bacterium. RNAcentral describes it as "partial 16S ribosomal RNA". It matches the Rfam family "Bacterial small subunit ribosomal RNA", at positions 28 to 507 of the family's 1533-position model. The record is from RNAcentral.
GACGAACGCUGGCGGCGUGCUUAACACAUGCAAGUCGAACGGGAAGGGCCUGCUUUUGUGGGGUGCGCGAGUGGAGAGCGGGAGAGUAACACGUGGGUAACCUGACCAUAACUGUGAACUAACUUCAGGACACUGGGGCUAAUGCCGGAUAGGAGCGCCUGCUGCAUGGGGGGGGUUGGAAAGUUUCGGCGGAGGGGGAUGGGCUCGAGGCUUAUCAGCCUGUUGGUGGGGUAGUGGCUUAGCACGGCUUUGACGGGUAGCCGGCCGUAGCGGGUGACCGGCCACCUUGGUACUGCGGUGCGGCGCAGACGCCUCCGGGAGGCAGCAGUGGGGAGUAUUGUACCGUGGGCGGAGGCCGGAUGCAGCAACGCCGCGUGCGGGAUGAAGGCGUUCGGGUUGUAGUCCGCUUCCUCCUGUGAAGAAGCGAGAGUGACGGUAACGGGUAAAGAAGCACCGGCUAACUAUGUG